GUGGGGAAUAUUGCACAAUGGGGGAAACCCUGAUGCAGCGACGCCGCGUGAGGGAUGACGGCCUUCGGGUUGUAAACCUCUUUCAGUAGGGAAGAAGCCUUCGGGUGACGGUACCUGCAGAAGAAGUACCGGCUAACUACGUGCCAGCAGCCGCGGUAAUACGUAGGGUACAAGCGUUGUCCGGAAUUAUUGGGCGUAAAGAGCUCGUAGGCGGUUCGUCGCGUCUGCUGUGGAAACGCAAGGCUCAACCUUGCGCGUGCAGUGGGUACGGGCGGACUAGAGUGCAGUAGGGGAGUCUGGAAUUCCUGGUGUAGCGGUGAAAUGCGCAGAUAUCAGGAGGAACACCGGUGGCGAAGGCGGGACUCUGGGCUGUAACUGACGCUGAGGAGCGAAAGCAUGGGGAGCGAACAGGAUUAGAAACCCUAGUAGUCC
This 432-nucleotide ribosomal RNA is filed under the name uncultured Brevibacterium sp. Its description in RNAcentral is "bacterial SSU rRNA". It matches the Rfam family "Bacterial small subunit ribosomal RNA", at positions 354 to 796 of the family's 1533-position model. The record is from RNAcentral. Lineage: Bacteria; Bacillati; Actinomycetota; Actinomycetes; Micrococcales; Brevibacteriaceae.